Molecule: non-coding RNA, 109 nt
Submitted as: unclassified sequences
Source: Rfam
AUCGCCGCUGGACGGAACGGGUCGCGAGGGACGGGCUUCCCCGCUGGUGAUCUGGCCGAGAGCCACCAGGGUUGCAGGGACCCCUGAUGGGCUCGCUCCGGCGAGGGAG